AACGAACGCUGGCGGCAGGCUUAACACAUGCAAGUCGAACGAGCUGGGGGCUUCGGUCCCCGAUGCUAGUGGCGCACGGGUGAGUAACACGUGGGAAUAUGCCCUUUAGUACGGAAUAACCAAGGGAAACUUUGGCUAAUACCGUAUACGCCCUUCGGGGGAAAGAUUUAUCGCUAAAGGAUUAGCCCGCGUCUGAUUAGGUAGUUGGUGAGGUCAUGGCUCACCAAGCCGACGAUCAGUAGCUGGUCUGAGAGGGUGAUCAGCCACACUGGGACUGAGACACGGUCCAGACUCCUACGCGAGGCAGCAGUAGGGAAUCUUCCGCAAGGGGGGAGAGCCUGACGGAGCAACGCCGCGUGAGUGAUGAACGUGUUCGGCUCGGAAAGCUCUGUUAGUAGGGAAGUACAAAUGUGUAAUUAACUGUGCAGAUCUUGACGGUACCCGAACAGAAAGCCACGGCUAACUACGUG
RNAcentral lists this ribosomal RNA (470 nucleotides) under uncultured bacterium. RNAcentral's name for it is "partial 16S ribosomal RNA". It matches the Rfam family "Bacterial small subunit ribosomal RNA", at positions 29 to 507 of the family's 1533-position model. The record is from RNAcentral.